Molecule: non-coding RNA, 119 nt
Organism: Lupinus angustifolius (narrow-leaved blue lupine)
Lineage: Eukaryota; Viridiplantae; Streptophyta; Magnoliopsida; Fabales; Fabaceae
Source: Rfam
AUGUGCGAUCAUACCAGCACUAAUGCACCGGAUCCUAUCAGAACUCCGCAUAUAAGUGUGCUUGGGCGAGAGUAGUACUACGAUGGGUGACCUCCUUGGAAGUCCUCGUGUUGCACCUC